AGCGAACGCUGGCGGCAGGCCUAACACAUGCAAGUCGAACGAACCUUUCGGGGUUAGUGGCGGACGGGUGAGUAACACGUGGGAACGUGCCUUUAGGUUCGGAAUAACUCAGGGAAACUUGUGCUAAUACCGAAUGUGCCCUUCGGGGGAAAGAUUUAUCGCCUUUAGAGCGGCCCGCGUCUGAUUAGCUAGUUGGUUGAGGUAAUGGCUCACCAAGGCGACGAUCAGUAGCUGGUCUGAGAGGAUGAUCAGCCACAUUGGGACUGAGACACGGCCCAAACUCCUACGGGAGGCAACAGUGGGGAAUCUUGCGCAAUGGGCGAAAGCCUGACGCAGCCAUGCCGCGUGAAUGAUGAAGGUCUUAGGAUUGUAAAAUUCUUUCACCGGGGACGAUAAUGACGGUACCCGGAGAAGAAGCCCCGGCUAACUUC
Molecule: ribosomal RNA, 431 nt
Filed under: uncultured bacterium
Lineage: Bacteria
Description: partial 16S ribosomal RNA
Rfam family: Bacterial small subunit ribosomal RNA
Source: RNAcentral